Pseudopipra pipra is the source of this 6145-nucleotide long non-coding RNA. RefSeq lists it as uncharacterized. The record is from RefSeq and is a predicted model, not a curated record. The transcript has 2 exons. NCBI's taxonomy places the organism in Eukaryota, Metazoa, Chordata, Aves, Passeriformes, Pipridae.
GGGGGGUGUAUAUGUGUGUGUGUGUGCGAUAAAAAGAAGGGCGGGGCUUUCUGUGAAGACAGGCGGGAGAUCCGACCAAUGGGAACAAAAGAGAGCGAGGCUGGGAUUGGAGCUCAUCGCCAAUUCCAGGACGCGAGUGGAGGAGCCGCUGUGUGCUUUAACCUCUGCGGCGGGGGCGGCGGCGGGGCGGGUGUGUGUGGGGGCUGGCUCCUGCCCUGGGAGGGUCCCCGCCGUGAUGCGGCGUCACCUGGGUUACACGCUGCGCCUCGCAGGCCCGCAGCUGCGUGGGAGGACGGCCGAGAUUGCUCGUGGAGGCGGUGGGAUAGCGGUGACACGUCCUCGCCGGGGCUGGCUGCACCACUUGCGCGACGCGACACGGCCGGUGUGGCUGCAGCCCUCCGUCCAUCCGUUCGCCCGUCCAUCCCCGCCGGCCGCCGCGGGGGACGGGCGGGGGACAGCGCUGCCGCUCCGCGCCGGGAGCCUCCGACGCGCCGGGCUGCAUCGCGCAGGCUUGUAGAGGAAAUAAUAAAGAUAUUAUUGUUAUGCUGUGACAGCCGGUCUAGCUGGAGCUGUGCGACACAGAGCCGCGUUUCUUACCUAAGUAUUUCGCAGAGAAAUCAAAGAUGUUUUGCUGCGGUGAAGGUUAUUUCUGCGUACAAAUCUGAAAUUAUUCAGGUGGAAGCUUAAAACGUUUUAAGAUGUGGGGGAGGGGGGAGGCAGGGCUCAGGGGAUUGUCUGCGCACCAGAAAAGCAUGCUAUUUAUUGACUCGUUGAAUUGCCUUUGAAGAAAUUUUUCAAACCGCUGUAACCGUGGAGGCAGUGGUCAGCACUGGAGCAUCAACUCUGUACAAAAUUUAGGCACAUGUGUUUAUUGCGUUACACCAUGCUCUGUGCUAAAUUCGUAUUGCUACGUGUGUGUGCAGCGUGGCUGCUGACUCGAUUCCUCCUAAUGCGCGAGCUGAAAACCUGGCUGUUUGUGGAUGAAAUCCAAUUUCCAUUCUGAGCUCCCUGGGAGAUAGCCUUAGUUUUAGUAAUCACUUACCAUUAAUACUGCCCCAAACAAUUUUUAGUACUUAAAAUGCAGAUUUCGUGUAUAAUAUAUCGUAUAGCUCAUCACCUCUGCUUAAAAAUUACAAGACAGGAAUGUAAUUCAUUAUAGGAUAUUAAACUGUGCACAUGUUAACAUCUAAACAGGCUCCUGCCCAAAUGCAUUCACAAAUUAAGAACUCAAUCAAGCACCGUACAUGGGAAACUUUCAAUGAAUUCUUUGGGAAUUGUGUCCCAGGAAUGUGAUAUCCAGCUUCCUCGCCAGCAGAUGAAAUAGAUGCAGCUGAUUCAGUAACAAUUUGAUAACAUAUAUGGUCAGAAAAAUGAUUGUAUAAAUAGGGAACCUUCUUACUCAUCAGGUACCCUUUGUAUCUAAGAUACUCUGACUCAUAAUUGCUUAGUUUACUGACUGAAAUAAAAUUUUAGGCUUCUGUUACCUUGACAGUUGCUGACACAAUUACGGUACAGCAAACUGGGGACUGGUUCUAGCUCUUGCAUUUUCUUUACUAAGUUUCAGGUGAAAAAUUUUAUUAAUAUUUGAGUCAGAAAGAGCACCGCACGACUUGUAAAUCUCAGGUCCAGUUUGUAGGGUCAUCAGUCCUAAAAGGCCUCUUUUUAUUUGUGAACUAAGCAAAUGACUUACAGAAAAUUUUGAAGACAAAAAUAAAAACCACGAUGUUUGAAUUAAGCCAUCUUGAGUCAAUUUCCGCAGUGGAACUGGAUAAAUUAUAACACUGCUCUCUUUAUGUCACUGAAUAUGUCCCAUUCAUUUGAAGCAACAUUGAAUCAAAUAAUUCUCUGAUUUUUAGACCACAUCUGUUUUACUGUGCCCCCUGCACCAAUUUUAAUUAUGUGACAGAUCUGAUUGGAUUCAGCACCUGCAAGUCCUCCCUUUGGGAUCUCCAAUUAGCUUAUAAAACGUUUACUUGAUUGCAUUCUUCAAACAAAAGUAUUGUUUCAUGGUAACAGCAGGAAUAUUAAAGUGUAGAAUGAAAAAGGUUUUAACAUGAUAAGCAGCGUGUAUGUUGUUUGUGUAUCUAGCUUCCAUAAGCUUAGAGGAAAAAAUAGUAAUCCUGAAACCUAAUUUCCUCAGACUCAGCAGAUGUCUGUCCUGCCUUAGCCUGUUUCUUUACUAACAGCUGUUUCACAAGUGCCUCCCCUAGUCUCUACAGAAUGCCUUUUGUUUAAUAUUUCCCCUCUACUUUAUCUCCCAUCCCACUUAGACAAGCUUUUUUAAGUUUUCUGGUACUUUAUGUAGGUAUUUUGUAGUUUAAUAGACAGGCUCAUCUUUGAAGAAGUUAGCUAAAACCAUAUAACUAACCUCUCAGCUAGCGUCUCAGUAACAGCUCUACUUAACUAAGCAAAUAGCUGCAUGUAACAAACAUUUCAACAAAUGUUGAUUUAAUAUUAAGAAAACUAUUAAUUAUUACAGAUAUGCUUCAGAAUACACUUUUUUCUCCUUAUUUGACUGGUUGGAGCAGUGAUACUGGAGGUCUAGGGGGGAAUAUCACACAAAGUGCAGCCCUCUAGUGGCAGAGGUCACGGGGAGUUUAAAGCAAACUGGGUCUUUGUUAUGGGUGGGGGCAAUGAAAGAAACAGCUUUUAGCAAAAUGCAGGCAACUGUCCUGCGUCGUUCAUGGUCUGAAGCACAAGCAAAAAGAGUUGUGAAGGCCUGUAAUGCAACCUUGCCCCCACUCUGUUGUAAUAUCUACGCAGAAAGUACCGAUGGAAAAUAUUAAAAGGUCUGAGUUUUCCUCUAUUUCCAAAUCUGUAAUCUGUUGUUCAUCUUUUCUGUUUCCAGCCAGCAGAUUGGCAUACCUGACCAGAUGCUUUUCAAGCAGCUGUGGGGUCUUGAUUCCUUCAGUCAUGUCCUACCAGAUGAGCUUCAAGCUAUUUCCUCUACAGAAGAAAAAAAUCAUAUGUUGAAACAGUAAAAAUAAAAUUACUGCAGAACUGAGUCAUUGCGAGAUGAAUACCCACAAAAAAAACUUACCAAAUCGCAAAAAAAACACCCAGAAACAAGAUCAUUGUGCAUUAGAAACAAUGCUUUCAGAUUCAUCAUGGCUCACAACAAAGGUAUUUAUAAGUGGACCUCCUGCCUCUGUCACAUGCUGUCAUUGCUUUGGAUUGACUGCUGUUAGAUCCCCGUAAUCCCAAACCCCGGGAUCUUGUCCUACAUAUCUCCCCCACUUGUUAGGCAUGUCAGUAACUAUUUAAAAUGCAAAUGAACUCUAAUCUUUGUAUGUGUUAAUAGCAAAGGGUUUUAAUCUCCUAAACCCCAUAUUUACCAAGAUAUUUUGGGUUUUUGUAAUAAAGGUUAUAAAAAGAUGUAUUCAGUCAUAUAGCUUGUAUUUACUAGUUUAACCACUUAUGUUUGGUUAAUGCUUGGCAUUUCUUAACUCAACAGAGUGUCAUGACAAUAUUAUGGAACAUGUUCAUGGAUGAUGAGAAGAAUUGAUUUGUGAGAUUAUGUUGUUAUGUAAAUGUUAUGCAGAGAUUAAAAGUCAAAUGUUGCCCAAUUAAGGAAAUGUUCAUUGAAACUAUCAUAUCCCAUUCCACAUGAAAACUCUUUGAUGCCAACAGAUUAAAAUUAGUGUACUUCAUUUGAAGGGGAUAAGAAAAAGUCACCAGUAUAGCUGACUUCUAGUCCUCACUUGCAGUUCCUUGUACCCGGUACAAAUCUUGCAUCAUGUAGGAUCUUUGUGAAAACCACUCCUAUUUUCAUAUUAUGAUUGUUAUUAAUAAAUAUUUCCAUUGUCCAACUGCUCCUUGGAACUUGGUUCCGUGAUCACUUCCCUAGGAAGCCUGUUCCACUGAAUGAUCACCCUCUCAGUGAAGAACCUUUUCUUAAUGUCUAGUCUGAGGUUCCCCUGAUGGAGCUUCAUUCCAUUUCCUCGUGUCACCAGAGAGAGCAGAUCAGCACCUUCCCCUCUACUGGUCCUCUUGAGGAAGUUGAAGACUGCAAAGAGGUCUUCAAGCUCCAACAAACCAAGUAACCUUGGCUGUUUCUCCUUGCAUUUCACCAUCUUGGUCAACCUUCUCUGAACGCACUCUAAUAGUUUGAUGUCCUUCUUUCAUUGAGGAUAAUAAUAUAAAAGCGAAAUCACUAGAGCAAUUUGUACAGUGCCAUGAUAUGAUAAGGAUGUUUUUUUCUUAAAAUCUUAGUGGAGCAGCUAACUCCACUUGGAUAGACCCUAAUCCCUAGCAUAAUUUCACUGCCAUCAGUAGAGUGUCAUUAGGGAAAUGGAUCUUCCACUUACAGAAAUGUGUUUUAAAUUUAUAAAAAAAUUUAAAUUUAGUCUAGUAAAAGUAGUUUCAACACAUUCCAGUCUACUUUAUUGAUUUCAAGCUUACUCCUAGAACUAAAGGUGAUGCGAUGAAUAUGUGGGACAUCUGAAUCAGUAAAAAAUCCCAGUUUUAAUAUCUGUCAUCCAGCGUGGCAGAUUAUUUCCCAAGUUCAGACAACUAAUUGGUAAACUAAGAAUGCAUUACACAUAAGAAAGUGCGCACAACAGAUGAUAUUCUUUUAUUAGAACAUUAUAGUUUUAAUCUAACAUCAUACACAAUCAGUAAAGCUAAAUUCUUAAUGCAACACAUGCAAGAGUUAAAAUGCUUAAAGUGAAAAUAUCUUGGCUUAGUUGCAUAUAUUUUUCAUUUUAAAGUAAAUGCAUUAACAGAAAUAGGACUAUAAAAAGUUGUACUUUAAAGUUUAGCUAAGUGUAAAUAGCAAUAGAAUUGUAUUUUCAGCAUACUGUUUAAUGUAAACUCUCCCUGCCCCUCCCCUCAAAUUAUUUUAUUGUACUCUUUUAAGAAUUUAACAUUUUACGAAGGUGAAACAUUUGGUACGACUUUUAACAAUUUAAGAAAAACCACAAAAGAUGAUCAUUCUAGAAAAUGGAUGUUAAGCUUUUUUCCAGUUUUUAGUGUCUAGGUGUACUACUGAUAAUUUAGGCAGUAACCACAUGAAGUUCAGCCAAAUUCAAAGACAUUAUUCUGUAUCAAUGCCUAAAAGAUAUUGUUCAGUUAUGCAAAUGCCCAUUCACCUGAGUAGUCUUUAUUCAUAUAGAUUAUUGUGUUCAACACAAUUUUUACAAGCAUUCAAAACAGUGGGCUGCAAAAAGAGUAUCUUCUCUCUUGUUUUUGCAAAAUUUUCUACACAGAAAAAUAUUCCAAAGAAAGUAUCCAAAAUUGAUUAUUAUGUACAGCAAUAAAUGUCUGUAAAAUAUUUUGGUGUCUGUGUUCCUAUUUCUACAGAAACAUACAUUAUUGUUAAUCAGUAUAAUCUGAAAUUCCAUGUUUCUUGAAAUACUGGUUUGUUGACCAGAUCUCUUAUACUUAGAUCAAUAUAAUUUUGCAAAUGUAUAGAAAAUACUGAUACCUCAAACUUUUGUAUAUGUCAGCUCAGGCUGAAAAUAUUGUGUUAACUAUCUUUUGGACUGUGUGGGUAAAUUAUUCAUCAUUACAUUGUCUUACUGUAGAGUCACUGGAUUGCACUAUCUCCAAAGAUCAUGUGUUACGUAAAAAUGGUUGAAAGCCAUUUCUCUCAUCAUUACAAUGUCACAUUAGUGAAAGAAGACAGUCAGCAUUUCACGAACAUUUUAUUUCUUUACAGCCUCUAAGAUUUCCCAGGAGAAUAAGUCAUAUAAUCAAACAAAAAUGGUUGGUGUGAUCAAUUCUGCAACACUGCAUUACAUUCUCUGGGAAGUCGUUUAUGAAAGAAUCAACUGUGUUCAUGUUAUUCAGUGUCAUCUACAUACCUCAGUAAAACAUAUGAUGACAGCAGGCAUUGGUCAUGGAAGUUUGAACUUUUUUUUAAUGUGAUUGUUUUCAAUAUUCAGUUUGAUGAAAUGAAUAUUUUGUGUAUGUCUAGUCAUCUGAGAAUGAAGUUGAAAAUUGUAAUUAUGAAAAUAGAUAAAUAUUUCACCCGUAUUUGGUGAAUUUCAAAGUUUUGUUAAUAUCUAAGAUUUGAAUUUAUUUAAAUGUUAAAAACCUGUAAAAUAAAAGAAAAAUAGAUUAUGUAUUAAAAUACAAGUAUGUGCAUAUAUAUGUGUUCAUACCUGUGUACACACAAAUAAAGCACAUGCAUAUGAAUGAUGUA